CGUCAGUACUGUGCGCCCUGCAGCGGUUGCCAUGGAGGCGGCGGGGGAACGUGGUGAGGAGGAGGAGGAGGAAGAAGAGUGGUUGCUGCAAUCCCUGCACCUGUACGAGGCUCUGCACGCCUUCGAGCUCCAGGCUCCCACCCGCGUUAUCGAAUGGGCCCUGGGGAAGCGUGAGUGGGGAGGGGGAGGAGGGAGGCCGAGA
This 202-nucleotide long non-coding RNA is filed under the name Gallus gallus (chicken). Lineage: Eukaryota; Metazoa; Chordata; Aves; Galliformes; Phasianidae. The record is from RNAcentral.